Molecule: small nucleolar RNA, 78 nt
Filed under: Dichanthelium oligosanthes
Lineage: Eukaryota; Viridiplantae; Streptophyta; Magnoliopsida; Poales; Poaceae
Description: Small nucleolar RNA R160
Rfam family: Small nucleolar RNA R160
About the family: snoR160 is a C/D box small nucleolar RNA, which acts as a methylation guide for 25S ribosomal RNA in plants. snoR160 has been alternatively named snoZ270 in rice.
Source: Rfam by way of RNAcentral
AGCAAAAUGAGGAAGUUAUGCCACCUGAAACUGUACUGUUGAUAAUUCUUGGAUAGCCUUCAAAGUUCUCUUGUUACU